Molecule: ribosomal RNA, 253 nt
Filed under: uncultured bacterium
Lineage: Bacteria
Description: partial 16S ribosomal RNA
Rfam family: Bacterial small subunit ribosomal RNA
Source: RNAcentral
UACGUAGGGUGCGAGCGUUGUCCGGAAUUAUUGGGCGUAAAGGGCUCGUAGGCGGUUUGUCGCGUCUGCCGUGAAAGUCCGGGGCUCAACUCCGGAUCUGCGGUGGGUACGGGCAGACUAGAGUGAUGUAGGGGAGACUGGAAUUCCUGGUGUAGCGGUGAAAUGCGCAGAUAUCAGGAGGAACACCGGUGGCGAAGGCGGGUCUCUGGGCCGAUACUGACGCUGAGGAGCGAAAGCAUGGGUAGCGAACAGG